RNAcentral lists this ribosomal RNA (543 nucleotides) under uncultured beta proteobacterium. Its description in RNAcentral is "bacterial SSU rRNA". It matches the Rfam family "Bacterial small subunit ribosomal RNA", at positions 881 to 1428 of the family's 1533-position model. The record is from RNAcentral. Lineage: Bacteria; Pseudomonadati; Pseudomonadota; Betaproteobacteria.
GACGGUCGCAAGAUUAAAACUCAAAGGAAUUGACGGGGACCCGCACAAGCGGUGGAUGAUGUGGAUUAAUUCGAUGCAACGCGAAAAACCUUACCUACCCUUGACAUGUCUGGAAUCCACGAGAGAUCGAGGAGUGCUCGCAAGAGAACCGGAACACAGGUGCUGCAUGGCUGUCGUCAGCUCGUGUCGUGAGAUGUUGGGUUAAGUCCCGCAACGAGCGCAACCCUUGUCAUUAGUUGCUACGAAAGGGCACUCUAAUGAGACUGCCGGUGACAAACCGGAGGAAGGUGGGGAUGACGUCAAGUCCUCAUGGCCCUUAUGGGUAGGGCUUCACACGUCAUACAAUGGUCGGGACAGAGGGUCGCCAACCCGCGAGGGGGAGCUAAUCCCAGAAACCCGAUCGUAGUCCGGAUUGUAGUCUGCAACUCGACUACAUGAAGUCGGAAUCGCUAGUAAUCGCGGAUCAGCAUGUCGCGGUGAAUACGUUCCCGGGUCUUGUACACACCGCCCGUCACACCAUGGGAGUGGGUUUCACCAGAAGUA